RNAcentral lists this ribosomal RNA (497 nucleotides) under uncultured bacterium. RNAcentral describes it as "partial 16S ribosomal RNA". It matches the Rfam family "Bacterial small subunit ribosomal RNA", at positions 28 to 507 of the family's 1533-position model. The record is from RNAcentral.
GAUGAACGCUGGCGGCGUGCCUAAUACAUGCAAGUCGAGCGAACAGACGAGGAGCUUGCUCCUCUGACGUUAGCGGCGGACGGGUGAGUAACACGUGGAUAACCUACCUAUAAGACUGGGAUAACUUCGGGAAACCGGAGCUAAUACCGGAUAAUAUAUUGAACCGCAUGGUUCAAUAGUGAAAGACGGUUUUGCUGUCACUUAUAGAUGGAUCCGCGCCGCAUUAGCUAGUUGGUAGGGUAACGGCUUACCAAGGCAACGAUGCGUAGCCGACCUGAGAGGGUGAUCGGCCACACUGGAACUGAGACACGGUCCAGACUCCUACGGGAGGCAGCAGUAGGGAAUGUGCCGCAAUGGGCGAAAGCCUGACGGAGCAACGCCGCGUGAGUGAUGAAGGUCUUCGGAUCGUAAAACUCUGUUAUUAGGGAAGAACAAAUGUGUAAGUAACUAUGCACGGCUUGACGGUACCUAAUCAGAAAGCCACGGCUAACUACGUG